UACAGAGGUCCCAAGCGUUGUUCGGAUUCACUGGGCGUAAAGGGUGCGUAGGUGGCCAGGUAAGUUCGGUGUGAAAGCUCGGAGCUUAACUCCGAAAUGUCAUUGAAUACUAUCUGGCUAGAGGGUUGGAGGGGAGACUGGAAUUCUCGGUGUAGCAGUGAAAUGCGUAGAUAUCGAGAGGAACACCAGUGGCGAAGGCGAGUCUCUGGACGACACCUGACACUGAGGCACGAAAGCUAGGGGAGCAAACAGG
This 253-nucleotide ribosomal RNA is filed under the name uncultured bacterium. Its description in RNAcentral is "partial 16S ribosomal RNA". It matches the Rfam family "Bacterial small subunit ribosomal RNA", at positions 524 to 776 of the family's 1533-position model. The record is from RNAcentral.